RNAcentral lists this ribosomal RNA (739 nucleotides) under uncultured Eubacteriales bacterium. RNAcentral's name for it is "bacterial SSU rRNA". It matches the Rfam family "Bacterial small subunit ribosomal RNA", at positions 28 to 776 of the family's 1533-position model. The record is from RNAcentral. Lineage: Bacteria; Bacillati; Bacillota; Clostridia; Eubacteriales.
GAUGAACGCUGACAGAAUGCUUAACACAUGCAAGUCUACUUGAACUUCGGUUUGGGUGGCGGACGGGUGAGUAACGCGUAAAGAACUUGCCUCACAGUUAGGGACAACAUUUGGAAACGAAUGCUAAUACCUGAUAUUAUGAUUUUAGGGCAUCCUAAGAUUAUGAAAGCUAUAUGCGCUGUGAGAGAGCUUUGCGUCCCAUUAGCUAGUUGGAGAGGUAACGGCACCCCAAGGCUACGAUAGGUAGGGGUCCUGAGAGGGAGAUCCCCCACACUGGUACUGAGACAGGGACCAGACUCCUACGGGAGGCAGCAGUGAGGAAUAUUGGUCAAUGGUCGGAAGACUGAACCAGCCAUGCCGCGUGCAGGAAGAAUGCCUUAUGGGUUGUAAACUGCUUUUAUAUGGGAAGAAUAAGGUGUACGAGUACAUUGAUGACGGUACCAUAUGAAUAAGCAUCGGCUAACUCCGUGCCAGCAGCCGCGGUAAUACGGAGGAUGCGAGCGUUAUUCGGAAUCAUUGGGUUUAAAGGGUCUGUAGGCGGGCUAUUAAGUCAGGGGUGAAAGGUUUCAGCUUAACUGAGAAAUUGCCUUUGAUACUGGUAGUCUUGAAUAUCUGUGAAGUUCUUGGAAUGUGUAGUGUAGCGGUGAAAUGCUUAGAUAUUACACAGAACACCGAUUGCGAAGGCAGGGGACUAACAGACAAUUGACGCUGAGAGACGAAAGCGUGGGGAGCGAACAGG